CUGUGUACAUAUUCAUAAUUACAAAACAUAAUUGUUAACUUUUAACAAUUAUGUUUUAAGUAUGUAUUAUGUAGAUUUUUUUGCUUAUACUUAUUUUUUACUUAAUAAAAAUGUAACCUGCUGAGAUUUACGUAUGUUUUGCAAUUAUGAGUCUGUCUGGCUAUCUGUGUGUUCCUUAUUCAUUCUCACAUUCUUUGAUAUAUCAUGACCAAACUUUACAAAAUAUUUUCAAUGAUCCUGACAAAAGGUAUGUGGGAACUCUAACAACCAUCUACACCAGUGGUUCUCAACUUUCCUAAUGCCGCGACCCUUUAAUACAGUUCCUCAUGUUGUGGUGACCCUCAACCAUAAAAUUAAUUUUUUGCUACUUCAUAACUGUAAUUUUGCUACUGUUAUGAAUCAUAAUGUAAAUAUCUGAUAUGCAGG
This 426-nucleotide long non-coding RNA is filed under the name Androctonus crassicauda. Lineage: Eukaryota; Metazoa; Arthropoda; Arachnida; Scorpiones; Buthidae. The record is from RNAcentral.